Long non-coding RNA from Thrips palmi, 5456 nucleotides. RefSeq lists it as uncharacterized. Lineage: Eukaryota; Metazoa; Arthropoda; Insecta; Thysanoptera; Thripidae. The record is from RefSeq and is a predicted model, not a curated record. The transcript has 5 exons.
ACAAUAUAAAAGCCGCCGGGUCCAUCACAAAUGAUAUCCCAACAAGUGACCAUGCAAUUGGUUGUGAGGAAAAAUGAGAGCAUCUCCAAAGCCGCAAAGCCGGGCAUCCAGAGCCACAGAGCCUACAAGCUCAAGGUUGCCUGUUCAAAGGUGACUGUCCUGCCUCGCUGCUAAUUUGUGUGGAGGCCAUAUGAAAGUGCCUGGACAUGUGUCGCAGGCAUAGAACAACAAUCAGCGUUGCGGAGACACCAAAUGGUUGCUUCGAGUCUUCAAACCAUAGUAGAGUGUGAUCGAUGUACUUCUUAUUGCCAACAGAGAUUUUUAUUUGACUCAAUGUGGAACGAUUUUACUAUCUGACGACCUAAGCAGGGCGAUUGAUGUUGUGACAGGAUCCAAUUCUUGUUGACAAAGAGGGAAGAAAAAAGGAUGUUUUCAAGAGGCAAACGCAUCAAAAUUUUUGAGUCUCUAACGGUCCAGUCAGCCUAAAUGUUUCAAGAAGUUAAGAUACGUGAUUGAUUAGGACUGGAGACUUCACCAUUUGAACUAAAUGGCAACACAGAUUGUGAUGUGUGAAUAUGGGCAUGUAUUCACCGGUUGCUGGUCAAGAGAGAACACUCUCCCUCAAUGAAUGCUGUACUAAACACCUGGAGGGCUUCAAUGUCAAGUGCAGAAGUGAGAUGCAGUCAUCCAAGAGUUGAGUCCUUGCUUCUUCAAUCCAAUCUGAGAAGAGAGUGGUGUGGUGGAUGCAUCAUUUUGACCAACUGACACAAGCCUUGCUACUUCAAUCCAAUCUGAGAAGAGAGUGGUGUGGUGGAUGCAUCAUUUUGACCAACUGACACAAGCCUUGCUUCUUCAAUCCAAUUUGAGAAGAGAGUGGUGUGGUGAUGCGUCAUUUUGACCAACUGUGCUCGACCCCCAUUUGUUGUACUAUUGUGAGUAAGAAUAUAUCCCGAGAUGGUUGGACUGUCCUUGCGAAGACCAAGCUCAAUAUUAUGUUAAUCUUCUGAACCAAUGGGAUUGUGAGCUUAUGCUCUGUUAUUGUGUUAGGCAAGAGUUGCUUCAGAUUGGCAAUGGCUUUUAACUUGGUUUCCAAUUUUUUAGAGGAGUUGCUCUCAAAUCUUUUAACUCUCAACUUGCCCAAAAUUUCCUUUGGAUCAGUCUUUACUCAAAUACCCCAAGUCAGUUUUUCUUCUUGCUGUCUUUUGAUGGCCAAAAGUGCAGAAUUAGAAAUGGUGUAAAAUGAACCAUAUUCAAACAGAGUCUCAAAUUUAUAGUUUGUGUUAGGGGUUUGUCACAUUUUCCCCUUCAUCUGCUGAUGUUUAGCAGAACCGUAGGUUCAUUUUAUGGUCCUUUUACACUUGAUGUGAGCAUUUCAGUUCAGAGAAUUCACAUUCAUUCCAUUUUUCUUUCUUUCAUUCAAAACCCUGAAGAAAAGUGUGGAGGUUAAUUUUAUUCAUGCUUUAACGUCAUAUCUCUUCUUUAAAGAGAAGCACUGAAAAUGAACACUGGUUGAGUCGGCUUUUAAAUUUCACAACAAAUGAAGUUUUGUUUACUCACUUGGUUUACACUUGUCCAAACUUAAUGAUAGUAUCCAUGCUAAAGGGCGCCCUUUUUCAUGGCUAUUCUCUAAGCAUAUUUUUUGGAAGAACAUUAAGCUGUGUAGUGGAGUGUGAUGGCAUGUGGUAGUUGGAUGGUGAUGGUAUAGGUGCACAGCUAUGGGGCCCCCUGUGUUAUUUAGAUCGUAGAUAGUGACUCCAUGUUAUUUUGUGUGCUACAAUGUUCUUCCCAAAAUAUGCUUUAAAUUAUUGUAGAGGUAGAAGCUAGGAAAUAAUCCAGAUUCUAGAAUCCAGAAUCAUAGCCUUCGUCUGCUUCCUGGAAGGAAAAUGUAGAGUUCAGUAGGAACAGAAUUAGACACUUUCCAAGCUCCACAUGGAGUGGAUACAGCUUUACUGAUGAUGACAGUUAAUUAACAAGAAACACCUGUACAACAAUAGUGCAAUAGAAAACAACUCAACAUAACAUGAAGCAUAAUGAAGUGCCAUAAAAUCUGGGAAAUGUGGCAAACUUUGACACACAUGGGGUAGAACCUUCCGCACAACACAGGUAGUAUGUUGAAGCCGACUCUUCCUUUCACAAUGUUGAAAAUCAAUUUCAUGAAAUCAUAUCAUUGAGACUAGAGGUGUUUCUCAAUUUUCCAGUUAAUGCUUUUCCACAAGUUAUGCAUUUUGGUGAUCUUGUUCAAACUUCCCUUGCUGUUGAUCACUCACGCUCUCACAAUGCUGAAAGUGAUUGUUUCUUAGAAUCUCGUCAGUUUCCCCCCUUCUGCCAGUGAGCAUCCCUUUGGGAGAUUCAGAUUCAUGGUCAUUUUCAUACGUGGCCUGUCAUCGCCUUAAUAGGAACAAGCCCCCUCAUGAAUUGUGAAUUUAGACUCUGUUUGAGCUCCUCACUUUUUCUGUUUUUGUGCUUUGUCACAGCACAAUUUUUUCACUUUUGAUGGCUUAAAAGAGCACUAUUGGAAUUAAAGUUAGCUGCUCAAGAGGGCACAGAUGCCCAGUUUUCUUAAAAUUAUAUUUGUCCUGGGAUUUUAAAUGUAAAUUCUGAUCUGGGGGAUGUGAAAUGGGCCAGCAUUGAGUAAUUUUUUAUAAGCUAAUUAGAUGAGCCGUUGUUGAAGCCUCUCUUCCAUUCACUUUGAUGGUGGUGUUUACUCCUCAUGCUUUCUUAAAAGGCACUUCAAUUAAAAAAUUUAGCAGGUGCGCAAGUCAGACUUGAAUUCUUUUCUGUACGGUUACCCUGUACUCUUGCAAUGUUAAUUCUUUGUUAAUUAUGAUGCUGUGUUUUUUCAUGUGGUAUUUUUUAACUUUUUUGUUACUUUGUCGAUCGCGUUCAACAAUGGCUUUAUGAAGGAGAAAUGGAAUUGUUAUAGCUAAAAUCAUUUUGAGAGGAUGGUGUUUGGUUUGUUUUAUAUCAAAUUGUUGAGAAAAAAUGUUAAAAUGAUUCAUGAUAUAGAUGAGCGUUUAGAUGAUUUUGAAAAUUUUCCCUUCACUUGUUGAUCAUUGAAUUGAACUCUGAUAAUUUUUGAAAAUAUGCUAUAUUUGGUUUGCUUUUUUAAAUUUGUUACCAAAAAUGAAGUAAGAUGUAGAUGAAUGUCAAGUUUUCUUCUUGUAUCAAAAUUUACUUGGAGUUCUUUCCUAUUCGUAAAUUUUAAAAAUUUAAGCUAGUUAGAUGACCUUUGUAAGCCUCUCUUCCAUUGACUUUGAUGGUUGUGUUUUUUGUUUUCUUUUACCAAGCUUCUUGAAAGGCACUUUUUUUUAUUUUGAAAUGUUAUGUGCUUAAGUCAGUAGGAAUGUGGUGGUGUAAGCCUGUACUCUUACAUUAUUGGUUCUUCGUCACGAUGCUGUGUGUUGUUCAUAGUAGUAUUUUUUAACUUAUUACUUUGUCAGUUGUGUUCAAUAAUAGCUAAAUUAGGAGAAAUGGAAAUGUUAUAUCUUAUAUCUUAAAGAGGAUGGUGUUAUUAGUUUGUUUUAUUUCAAAUUGUUAUGAAAAAACGUAGGAAUGAUUCAUGAUGGAUGAUAGUGUAAAUUUUCCCGUCACUUGUUGAAGAGUAUUAUUGAAUUCAGGAAUAUGUAGGUCAAGAUGGUGAAUCUAAUCCAUUGUCUAAUGUUGUUCAGUAUGUUCCUUUUACGAUGUAUUUUAACCAUUUUUUUCUGUUAUUUUCAAUUUGUGAUUACUGUAUUGUCAGUGACUUUUCCCCUUUGCUUGCCCUAAAAAAAAUGUCGGGAGAAACAGUCCCCCCGGCGAGUGCACACCAAAACGUUAAAGGCUUCGGUAAAACAAAAGGGGAGAAACAGUGAACCCCUCCGUUGCCACUAUUUCUUAAGUCAAGUUAAACAGCCAGCCAGGAUCCCUGAGUCCGGGGAACUGGCGGUGUGAACACUCGGGCUUAACUUCAGUCCCUUUUUCCUAGUUGGUGUUUCUGAUAACUCUGAUAAUUUUUGAAAAACUGCUGUAUUUGAUUUGCUGCUUGGUUUUCCUUUUUUUUAAAUUGUUAAUUAAAAUGAAGCGAUGUAGAUGAAUGUCAAGUUUUCCUUUUAUACCGAAAUUCACUGGAGUUCUAUUCUUGAGAAAUAUGUUUGUGACAUUUGGUGGUAAAUAUUGAAAAUUUAAGCUAAUUAGAUGACCUUUGUAAGCCUCUCUUCCAUUGACUUUGAUGGUUGUGUUUUUUGUUUUCUUUUACCAAGCUUCUUGAAAGGCACUUUUUUUUAUUUUGAAAUGUUAUGUGCUUAAGUCAGUAGGAAUGUGGUGGUGUAAGCCUGUACUCUUACAUUAUUGGUUCUUCGUCACGAUGCUGUGUUUUGUUCAUAGUAGUAUUUUUUAACUUAAUACUUUGUCAGUUGUGUUCAAUAAUAGCUAAAUUAGGAGAAAUGGAAAUGUUAUAUCUUAUACCUUAAAGAGGAUGGUGUUAUUAGUUUGUUUUAUUUCAAAUUGUUAUGAAAAAACGUAGGAAUGAUUCAUGAUGGAUGAUAGUGUAAAUUUUCCCGUCACUUGUUGAAGAGUAUUAUUGAAUUCAGGAAUAUGUAGGUCAAGAUGGUGAAUCUAAUCCAUUGUCUAAUGUUGUUCAGUAUGUUCCUUUUACGAUGUAUUUUAACCAUUUUUUUCUGUUAUUUUCAAUUUGUGAUUACUGUAUUGUCAGUGACUUUUCCCCUUUGCUUGCCCUAAAAAAAAUGUCGGGAGAAACAGUCCCCCCGGCGAGUGCACACCAAAACGUUAAAGGCUUCGGUAAAACAAAAGGGGAGAAACAGUGAACCCCUCCGUUGCCACUAUUUCUUAAGUCAAGUUAAACAGCCAGCCAGGAUCCCUGAGUCCGGGGAACUGGCGGUGUGAACACUCGGGCUUAACUUCAGUCCCUUUUUCCUAGUUGGUGUUUCUGAUAACUCUGAUAAUUUUUGAAAAACUGCUGUAUUUGAUUUGCUGCUUGGUUUUCCUUUUUUUUUAAAUUGUUAAUUAAAAUGAAGCGAUGUAGAUGAAUGUCAAGUUUUCCUUUUAUACCGAAAUUUACUGGAGUUCUAUUCUUGAGAAAUAUGUUUGUGACAUUUGGUGGUAAAUAUUGAAAAUUUAAGCUAAUUAGAUGACCUUUGUAAGCCUCUCUUCCAUUAACUUUGAUGGUUGUGUUCUUUUUUUUACCAAGCUUCUUGAACGGCACUUUUCUUUUUAUUUUGAAAUGUUACCUGCGCAAGUCAGUAGGAAUGUUUUGGUGUAAGCAUCAUGACGAGAACUAACAAUAUAAGAGUACAGGAUGUGUUUUUUUGUCAUGUGGUAUUUUUUAACUUUCUAUGGUACUUUGUCGUUUGUGUUUAACAAUGGCUAAAUUAAGGAGAAAUGGAAAUGUUUUAUCUUGGAUGGAUUUAGGUUUGUUUGAUUUCAAAUUGAUAUAAAAAUAAAAUUUUAAAAAACUGAUA